This 1296-nucleotide long non-coding RNA is filed under the name Triticum aestivum (bread wheat). RNAcentral describes it as "long non-coding RNA (TAES_LNC026639)". The record is from RNAcentral. Lineage: Eukaryota; Viridiplantae; Streptophyta; Magnoliopsida; Poales; Poaceae.
ACUUUACGAAUCUAAAAAGGUCGGCAAUUUAAGCAAAGCAGAUGUCGUCCUAAAGAAAACAUCUUCCAUAGAAGAAGGCUGCAUAAUAAGACCAAAAUUACUUCAAACAAUCAGCAGGAAGUUUCUUAACUUGACAUUGCAUUUUCAAACAAUCAGCCAAAAGGUCACUAGAAGAAGGCUGCAUAACAAGAAUACCAGAAUUACCUCCUUAGUACUUGUGUCAUAGGUUCAUCUUGUCGACUUGGUAAUUGUCCGCCCCUACAACUCCAGAGCCAAGGCCCAGGCUGCGAAAUCAGGGGUCGGCUAGGUUGAUAGCGAUGAGCUUCUAGCGGCCGAGUCAAGCAACGAGGCGGAGCUUCUAAAUGGCAGGCACUGUCAGACCUGUGGGCAGCGAGGGCGGCGACAAGGGCAGGUGGCCUGCAGUCCAGCACACCUUCCUCAUGGCGCACCUCUGACUCGGGCUCAUCAAGUGCAUUGUGGCAAGAGGCGGAGAAGAAGCACAGGAGACAUGCGGCAUAACCUGAGGCAAUUAAGUGUGGAUAUAUAUACAUAUCAAUUGUUCUUGGUUGCAGGAUGAACAAACAGCACCUCCCAGGGUAAGAAAAUGACUAGAUUUGGUAGAUUGAUACCUUUGCUUGAGGGCUGGAUCGUGGAUCUUGGGGCAUAUCCCGUGGUUGCUCUGCUUCCCUCGCAGCCUGAAAAUCAAUUAGACGACUAAGUCAUAAAGUCAAAGAUCAUUGUUCUCUUUUGGUGCAACAACUUGUUAGUUACUGACCAGUUAUUCAACGACAAAUCCCUAACCAGACCAUCACCAAUAUGCCGCUUGCCAGUGACACGGGAGUGCAUCCUCUCAAGAACAUCGUUGGCCAACAAAAAAUAGACACUGCUCACAGAGCUCCAUCUUCUCCUGCACGAUCAAGGGGACCUUUUGGAAGUUAGAAAUAUAGAACAGGAAUGUAUGUCCAAAAUAAUGUCAGCAUGCCUAAGACCGUCAAUAUAAACCUAACAUGGCCACUUGUUCACUGUUGUGCGUGUGAAUGUGAUGCAACCAAACCAACCUUAAGGGAGAAUCCUUAGGCGAGUGUCCAUUCUCUUAUAGCUGCAGCCUCUUGCUUGCUCACGGGGCUGAGCUGGCCUCGAUUCGCUCAUUGGAUUGCGGUAUGGUACUCCACUCAUCUCUCAUCUGUUACAAUACAACGGGGAAGAGUUUGUUACUUGUGGUUCCAUCUGGUUGUGCUUCAUCAUGCUUAAAAAAGUGAAUGUUAUAAAAUGGACAUGACCAAAUUUAAAACAGAG